AACAAGGCGUACCUGCGGACCUGCGGAAGGAUCAUUACCGAGUUUACAACUCCCAAACCCCUGUGAACAUACCUAUACGUUGCCUCGGCGGAUCAGCCCGCGCCCCGUAAAACGGGACGGCCCGCCCGAGGACCCCUAAACUCUGUUUUUAGUGGAACUUCUGAGUAAAACAAACAAAUAAAUCAAAACUUUCAACAAUGGAUCU
Molecule: unclassified non-coding RNA, 205 nt
Filed under: soil metagenome
Description: partial contains 5.8S ribosomal RNA, internal transcribed spacer 2, and large subunit ribosomal RNA
Source: RNAcentral